UACAGAGGUCUCAAGCGUUGUUCGGAUUCAUUGGGCGUAAAGGGUGUGUAGGUGGCGCCGUAAGUCAGGCGUGAAAUUUCGGAGCUCAACUCCGAAACUGCAUUUGAUACUGCGGUGCUUGAGGACUGGAGAGGAGACUGGAAUUUACGGUGUAGCAGUGAAAUGCGUUGAUAUCGGAAGGAAUGCCAAAAGCGAAAGCAGCUAUCUAUAAAGUAUCUGACGGUCAGGGACGACAGCUUGGGGAGCAAACGGG
Molecule: ribosomal RNA, 253 nt
Filed under: uncultured bacterium
Lineage: Bacteria
Description: partial 16S ribosomal RNA
Rfam family: Bacterial small subunit ribosomal RNA
Source: RNAcentral